UUGACAGAAGCCAAAACCAGAGGCAUAUUACUGUUAAUGAUAAAAUUGAAUUUUUCCUGUCAAG
This 64-nucleotide transfer RNA is filed under the name Cherax quadricarinatus. RNAcentral describes it as "tRNA-Asn". Lineage: Eukaryota; Metazoa; Arthropoda; Malacostraca; Decapoda; Parastacidae. The record is from RNAcentral.